CUUGGUCAAUUAGAGGAAGUAAAAGUCGUAACAAGGUUUCCGUAGGUGAACCUGCGGAAGGAUCAUUAUCGUAAAACCGAGGUGCGAGGGCUGUCGCUGACCUUUUCGGUCGUGCACGCCCGAGCGCUCUCACACAAUCCAUCUCACCCCUUGUGCACCACCGCGUGGGUCCCUUUCUGGCUCGUCCGGAGGGGGGCUCGCGUUUUCACACAAACUUGAAGUAGUGUAGAAUGUCCUUUUUUUUGCGAUAACACGCAAUCAAUACAACUUUCAACAACGGAUCUCUUGGCUCUCGCAUCGAUGAAGAACGCAGCGAAAUGCGAUACGUAAUGUGAAUUGCAGAAUUCAGUGAAUCAUCGAAUCUUUGAACGCACCUUGCGCCCCUUGGCAUUCCGAGGGGCACACCCGUUUGAGUGUCGUGAAAUUCUCAAAACCCUUUCUUUUGGUCAUUUUCGACCGCGGAAAGGAUUUUGGACUUGGAGGCCUUUUGCUGGUUUCACCUUGAAGCGAGCUCCUCCCAAAUGUAUUAGUGGGGUCUGCAUUGUCGGUCCUUGGCGUGAUAAGUUGCUUCUACGUCUUGGAUUUUUGGCGCUGUACACCUGCUUCUAACCGUCUCAUUGACAACGAUGGUGUUCCGGUCGCCACCGAUUUUUCGGUGGGAGGCUUGACCCACGAAACAAACCUUGACCUCAAAUCGGGUGAGACUACCCGCUGAACUUAAGCAUAUC
This 728-nucleotide ribosomal RNA is filed under the name Russula betularum. RNAcentral's name for it is "eukaryotic LSU rRNA". The stretch from base 266 to 419 matches the Rfam family "5.8S ribosomal RNA". The record is from RNAcentral. Lineage: Eukaryota; Fungi; Basidiomycota; Agaricomycetes; Russulales; Russulaceae.